Molecule: long non-coding RNA, 1803 nt
Organism: Hyaena hyaena (striped hyena)
Lineage: Eukaryota; Metazoa; Chordata; Mammalia; Carnivora; Hyaenidae
Exons: 4
Source: RefSeq, a predicted model, not a curated record
CCAGGACAGCUUCGAGAAGCGUGUGCUGGAGUCUGUGACUGACGCAGGAGGGGUGGCCGCUCAGCAUCGGAGACAUCUGGGGUAGUCCCGCAGCUUUCAGAGAUGUGGGGAGAUGGCGGAGAGGCAGGACUGCUUCUUCCACAAUAUUCCUGAUCUCCUAUGUGCCUUACUCUCUUGUGGCAUCAGACACAAUGGAAGAAACAUCUGUCUGAGUCUGAAUAACAGAAGCAAGGAAUUAAAAGUAAGAAUGAAGUAAAGAAAAGAAAGCAACUGGAGGAGCUACCAGGAGAUAUGAUCAUGCUGCCUGGGGAAUGCAAAGAAGAGAUACUAGCAGGGAGCCUCUUUUCCCCCUUGGCCUGGCUCUGGAAGUGCCUGAGAAGCUGCUGAAUUCUAUUAGCAUGGACAAUGCCCUAAAGCAGCUCUCAACUGACCAACAAAGAAGUGGCAGUUCCAAGGUGAAUGGACAACAUCCAAUAUAGAAGGCUACCACUCUGAGUGAAGAAGGUAAAAACAAAUCAGCUUGGUGGGCUUAACUGCAUGCUGCUUUCCCCGCAGUGAUAGAAGAAUCGAAGAGUUGUAAAAUCUCCUCUGUAUGGGUUUUUACCAGGAGGUGCUCAAUGGCCUAGUCAUAUGGACAGGCAGGAGGAUAAUGGAAAGAGGAGCACAGCCCUAUGCAAAUCACUGGGAAUUUGAGGAGUACAUUCAAGUAGGACAAGUUGAUGCCCAUCAGAAGAAUCUUCUUCCAGAUUCAGAAGGUGAUUGGAAUUAACAAGCAUAUAUCCCUGUGUGCUUACCUAAGGUGGCCACCUGGAUCCAUGAAAUGAGUGAAGCUGGUGAUACUGCAGCAAUUCAGAGAUGGGCUGAAUCUAAACAUAUCCCUCUUGCACCCUCUGAGACCAAAAAUGCCAAUAAUAACUGUUCUGUCUACCAAGAGAGACAGAGACUGUCAAUGUUCUGUGGCAGAUCCGCUGGUAGAAAAAGGCCUUGAUCACAGAUGGCAAGUGAGAUGGAUACUGGUGUCACUGGGGAAUACAAAAGAGUCCUGAUAGGAUUAGACACCUACUCUGCAUUGGGCUUUCCUUCCUUCAUGUAGAUAUAAAUGCUGAGUAUUAUGAAAGAUCCAGAACAGAAGAUACUGUACCAGUUUGGAUGGUGGACCAUCAUUUUUGCAGACCAGGGAACACAUUUACAACCCAUAAUGGCCAGCAGUGGACAGAGAUAUCAUCCUCAAAGUAAUAGUUUUAAAAGAUUUGGAAUGGCCAAUUAAAACAUUGGCUGUCUAAAACAGGGAGAUAAAAUCAUGAAGGGCUGGCACACAUAUCUUCAUGAGUGUGUGCUCACACUGCACAUCAACAUGAUUGGGGCUAAAGGAGUGUCCCCACUGGAUAAAUUUCCUCUGUGUUUCUCGUGGAUCUGAAGAAGAGGAGGUGAGCGAGGAAGCUGGUGUUUUUUCUUUCCACAUCACUGCAGCUUCUCCCCACGGCCCCUCACCCCCCGCCCACUUGAUGCAGUGGUUGUGGGACCAGGACCACUACUACAAGGGCUGGGAGCAGGGGUGAUUCCUAACCAAGAAACUGUAACUAUUUUCAACCUUUUUGUCAGAAUUUCUAAGGGCCUGAUGGGGCAGGAUGUACCUUCACUGUAUCUGGCAAAAUUGGGGUUAACCGUGAAGAGAACGCACUAGUUGUGCACCUGAGCAGCCUCUCCCUAUCUGAAUAGAAGUGAACUGGAGAGGCACCGGGAUGGCUCGUUCACUUAAGUGUCAGACUCUUGAUUUCAGCUCAGGUUAUGAUCUCACGGUUU